CCACAGAAACUGCACACUGACCGUCAGUAGGAGGAUGGAAGUUGUUCAGGAAUGUGUCUCUUACCUUUCAGUCAGAUCACUUCCAUCGAUCCACUUCCAUCUCCCUCCUUCAGCUCUCAGACCAAU
Molecule: long non-coding RNA, 126 nt
Organism: Etheostoma spectabile (orangethroat darter)
Lineage: Eukaryota; Metazoa; Chordata; Actinopteri; Perciformes; Percidae
Exons: 3
Source: RefSeq, a predicted model, not a curated record